This 497-nucleotide ribosomal RNA is filed under the name Fusarium oxysporum. RNAcentral's name for it is "eukaryotic LSU rRNA". The stretch from base 132 to 285 matches the Rfam family "5.8S ribosomal RNA". Lineage: Eukaryota; Fungi; Ascomycota; Sordariomycetes; Hypocreales; Nectriaceae. The record is from RNAcentral.
CCAACCCCUGUGACAUACCACUUGUUGCCUCGGCGGAUCAGCCCGCUCCCGGUAAAACGGGACGGCCCGCCAGAGGACCCCUAAACUCUGUUUCUAUAUGUAACUUCUGAGUAAAACCAUAAAUAAAUCAAAACUUUCAACAACGGAUCUCUUGGUUCUGGCAUCGAUGAAGAACGCAGCAAAAUGCGAUAAGUAAUGUGAAUUGCAGAAUUCAGUGAAUCAUCGAAUCUUUGAACGCACAUUGCGCCCGCCAGUAUUCUGGCGGGCAUGCCUGUUCGAGCGUCAUUUCAACCCUCAAGCACAGCUUGGUGUUGGGACUCGCGUUAAUUCGCGUUCCCCAAAUUGAUUGGCGGUCACGUCGAGCUUCCAUAGCGUAGUAGUAAAACCCUCGUUACUGGUAAUCGUCGCGGCCACGCCGUUAAACCCCAACUUCUGAAUGUUGACCUCGGAUCAGGUAGGAAUACCCGCUGAACUUAAGCAUAUCAAUAAGCGGAGGA